Molecule: small nucleolar RNA, 75 nt
Organism: Dendronephthya gigantea
Lineage: Eukaryota; Metazoa; Cnidaria; Anthozoa; Malacalcyonacea; Nephtheidae
Source: RefSeq, a predicted model, not a curated record
GUCAUAUAUGAUGAGAAUUCUUACCGAAAAUGAAUGAAAUGAUUUCAUCUUUCAUGCACUACCAUCUGAUGUGAC